CCCUGGUUAGCUCAGUUGGUAGAGCGCUCCACCUGCAAUGAAGAGGUCCCGGGUUCGAUACUCGAACCAGCGG
This is a non-coding RNA of Ixodes scapularis (black-legged tick), 73 nucleotides long. The record is from Rfam. Lineage: Eukaryota; Metazoa; Arthropoda; Arachnida; Ixodida; Ixodidae.